RNAcentral lists this long non-coding RNA (960 nucleotides) under Mus musculus (house mouse). Its description in RNAcentral is "RIKEN cDNA 2610307P16 gene". The record is from RNAcentral. Lineage: Eukaryota; Metazoa; Chordata; Mammalia; Rodentia; Muridae.
GUCUCUGUUCAGCGGGGAAGCAGCGAGGUUCCCUCCAGAUAGCGGUGAAGGGCGGCUUCCUAACUUUGUUUCCCAAGUCCCCUAACUUCGGAAUGCUUCUGCAUUGGUUCUUGCUCAGUGUCAUACCAGCGACUCCAAGAGUCAUGUCACCCACUUAGCAGGAGUACUUCUACUGAAAUGCCUUCGAAUUUCUCUUACUGGAUAUAUACCUACCAGCCGCUAGCAUGAAGAUGCCAGGACCGCUGCAAGUUAGCACUGGACAAAGUAGCAUCAACUUCUUCAUUUAGAGUUUCUUCAGUUAAAUUGCUGGGAUUUUCGACAAGGCUUUCCUUAUGUGGAUUAUUGGAGUGUGAUGCCCGAGAAUUCUCUACUUGUAGAAGCACGCCCACGGGACUGCAGAAGCCUUCACACCCACCCAGCACGCUCAGAUGGGAAUGAGUGAUGGCCAUCCAGUGACCAGCUGGAUCUGACUGCCUUACAAGACGCAUGUGUAUGAUUAAGAGAGAGACAUUCGUGACUCCCAGAUGUACCUCCUUCCUGUCCCACAGUGUUCCUGAAGGGAGUGAGUUAUGGGGUAACUUAUAACACAGCAGGCUCUUCCUCAAGAUAGCUCUUGUCAAAACAGGAAGACGAAACUCGGGUUUCCAUGAGGAGACCACAGCUUGGGAUCCUGUCUGGAUGUACAAGCAGAAGCAUCUUCAUACUUUUCCAUUUCUAACCAUCAUGCCUCACCCCACCCUCCCAAGGCGACAUCUGCAGAGAGGUGGAACCAUCUAGGGAGGCCUGCCACUGUUUGCUGAGCUCCGGGUGAGGAUGAAGACACUUUGACAUGGCCAGCUUCAGACUCGGGAUCUGUCGGUGUUAGCAGCCGAAGGUACAAGCUCAUUCCGUUUAUUUAAAUAUGAGUCAAUUGUUUUCUGAAGCAUGGGAAUAAAAAUAUGUGUGCUUUGAGAUAUACAA